This is a non-coding RNA of Schistosoma haematobium, 45 nucleotides long. NCBI's taxonomy places the organism in Eukaryota, Metazoa, Platyhelminthes, Trematoda, Strigeidida, Schistosomatidae. The record is from Rfam.
AUUCAACUGAGGAGUCCCAAAUAGGAUGAAACACGAAUCCUAGAU